GACGAACGCUGGCGGCGUGCCUAAUACAUGCAAGUAGAACGCUGAAGGAGGAGCUUGCUUCUCUGGAUGAGUUGCGAACGGGUGAGUAACGCGUAGGUAACCUGCCUGGUAGCGGGGGAUAACUAUUGGAAACGAUAGCUAAUACCGCAUAACAGUAGAUGUUGCAUGACAUUUGCUUAAAAGGUGCAAUUGCAUCACUACCAGAUGGACCUGCGUUGUAUUAGCUAGUUGGUGGGGUAACGGCUCACCAAGGCGACGAUACAUAGCCGACCUGAGAGGGUGAUCGGCCACACUGGGACUGAGACACGGCCCAGACUCCUGCGGGAGGCAGCAGUAGGGAAUCUUCGGCAAUGGACGGAAGUCUGACCGAGCAACGCCGCGUGAGUGAAGAAGGUUUUCGGAUCGUAAAGCUCUGUUGUAAGAGAAGAACGAGUGUGAGAGUGGAAAGUUCACACUGUGACGGUAUCUUACCAGAAAGGGACGGCUAACUACGUGCCAGCAGCCGCGGUAAUACGUAGGUCCCGAGCGUUGUCCGGAUUUAUUGGGCGUAAAGCGAGCGCAGGCGGUUAGAUAAGUCUGAAGUUAAAGGCUGUGGCUUAACCAUAGUACGCUUUGGAAACUGUUUAACUUGAGUGCAAGAGGGGAGAGUGGAAUUCCAUGUGUAGCGGUGAAAUGCGUAGAUAUAUGGAGGAACACCGGUGGCGAAAGCGGGCUCUCUGGCUUGUAACUGACGCUGAGGCUCGGAAGCGUGGGGAGCAAACAGG
RNAcentral lists this ribosomal RNA (764 nucleotides) under uncultured Streptococcus sp. RNAcentral describes it as "bacterial SSU rRNA". It matches the Rfam family "Bacterial small subunit ribosomal RNA", at positions 28 to 776 of the family's 1533-position model. The record is from RNAcentral. Lineage: Bacteria; Bacillati; Bacillota; Bacilli; Lactobacillales; Streptococcaceae.